RNAcentral lists this ribosomal RNA (1359 nucleotides) under Bubas bubalus. Its description in RNAcentral is "16S ribosomal RNA". The stretch from base 1089 to 1248 matches the Rfam family "Archaeal large subunit ribosomal RNA", at positions 2542 to 2701 of the family's 2987-position model. The record is from RNAcentral. Lineage: Eukaryota; Metazoa; Arthropoda; Insecta; Coleoptera; Scarabaeidae.
UUUGAAUUUAAAGGUUUAUUUUUAAAUUUGAAUUUAAAUUUUAUUUUUAAUAUAAAUAUAUUUUUUUUUUUAUUUUUUUAGAUAAAAUUAAUUUUUAUUAUAGUGGAUUAAGUAAAGUGAUUGAAUGUUUGAAAUAUGUGAAAUAUUAAAAUAUUUAAAAGAAAAUUUUAAUGAUUGUACCUUGUGUAUCAGGGUUUAUUAAAUAAUAGUUAUAAAGUUUAAUUUUCUCGAAUUUAAAAGAGCUAAAAAAUUAUAUAUUUUAUUGUAAAAUAAAUAUUUAAAAUAAUUUUUUAGUAAUGAAACGUUAGUCGUUUUUAAAUUUAUCUAGUUUUUUAAGAAAUAAAUUUAAUUUAGUCAUUUAUUGGGUUUAAUUUAAAUUAUUGUUUAUUUUACAUUAAUAUAAUUGAUUAAUAUUUUAAGGGAUAAGCUUUAAAAUAAAAUUUUAAAAAUUAGAUUAAAAUAUUGUAAAAUUUAUAGGAUUGGAAAUUUUUAUUAUUAAUAGUAUGUUAUAAUAAGUUUUAUGUUUUAUAUAAUUUUUAUAUAAUUUUAAAUUUUUUAUUAAAAUUAUUAAUUAAAUUUUAAAUUUAAUGUAAUAAUGAUAAAAUUAGUAUAAUUUUAAUGUAAUUUUAAUUUAGUAUAUAAAGGUUAAAUUAAGGAACUCGGCAAAUUAUCUUUUCUCGCCUGUUUAUUAAAAACAUGUCUUUUUGAUUAUAAUUUAAAGUCUAACCUGCCCUAUGAUUUAUUAUUAAAUGGCCGCGAUAUAUUGAUCGUGCAAAGGUAGCAUAAUAAUUAGUUUUUUAAUUGAGAACUGGUAUGAAUGGUUGGACGAGGAAAAGGCUGUCUCAAUUUAAUUUAAAUUAGAAUUUUAUAUUUAAGUCAAAAAGCUUAAAUAAAUUUAAAAGACGAGAAGACCCUAUAGAGUUUUAUAUAAAAUAAAUUUUUAAUAUAAAAGUAUUUAAAAUUUAUUAGUUUAUUUUAUAUUUAGUUGGGGUGACUAAAAAAUUUAAUUAACUUUUUUUAUUUAAUUUAACAUUGAUUUAUGAGUAAGUGAUCCAUAUAUUAUGAUUAAAAGAUUAAAUUACCUUAGGGAUAACAGCGUUAUUUUUUUUGAGAGUUCUUAUCGAAAAAAAAGUUUGCGACCUCGAUGUUGGAUUAAAAUAAACUUUUGGUGUAGCAGCUAAAAUAGUUGGGUCUGUUCGACCUUUAAAAUUUUACAUGAUCUGAGUUUAAACCGGUGUGAGCCAGGUUGGUUUCUAUCUUUAAAUAGUUUAAAUAUUUUAGUACGAAAGGACCAAGUAUUUAUAAAAUUUAUUUUAUAUUGAAUAUUAUUAAGUUAAUUAUUUUGGCAGAUUAGUGCUU